RNAcentral lists this small nuclear RNA (99 nucleotides) under Theropithecus gelada (gelada). The record is from RNAcentral. Lineage: Eukaryota; Metazoa; Chordata; Mammalia; Primates; Cercopithecidae.
GUGCCCAUUUUGGCAGCAUACAUACUAAAAUUGGAAAGAUACAGAGAAGAUUAGCAUGCCCCUGUGCAAGGAUGACAAGCAAAAGUUAGAAAUUAUUUU